RNAcentral lists this ribosomal RNA (419 nucleotides) under uncultured bacterium. RNAcentral's name for it is "bacterial SSU rRNA". It matches the Rfam family "Bacterial small subunit ribosomal RNA", at positions 29 to 445 of the family's 1533-position model. The record is from RNAcentral.
AUUGAACGCUGGCGGAAUGCUUUACACAUGCAAGUCGAGCGGCAGCGCGGGGGCAACCCUGGCGGCGAGCGGCGAACGGGUGAGUAACGCAUCGGAACGUACCUUGUAGUGGGGGAUAACUAUCCGAAAGGAUAGCUAAUACCGCAUACGCCCUGAGGGGGAAAGGGGGGGGAUCGCAAGACCUCUCGCUACAGGAGCGGCCGAUGUCCGAUUAACUAGUUGGUGAGGUAAAGGCUCACCAAGGCGACGAUCGGUAGCUGGUCUGAGAGGAUGAUCAGCCACACUGGGACUGAGACACGGCCCAGACUCCUACGGGAGGCAGCAGUGGGGAAUUUUGGACAAUGGGGGCAACCCUGAUCCAGCCAUUCCGCGUGAGUGAAGAAGGCCUCGGUUGGUAAGUCGUACUUUCUAGCCGGGAA